AACUUUCAGCAACGGAUCUCUUGGUUCCGGCAUCGAUGAAGAACGCAGCGAAAUGCGAUAAGUAAUGCGAAUUGCAGAAUUCCGUGAGUCAUCGAAUCUUUGAACGCACAUUGCGCCCCCCGGCUUCCCGGGGGGCAUGCCUGUCCGAGCGUCAUUGCCAUCCCCUCAAGCUCCGCUUGGCUGGUUGGGCCUGACGUCCCCCCGUGGCUUUGCGCUGGGGGGAUGGGCCCGAAAGGCAGUGGCGGCUCCCGGCGGGUUUGGUCCCUUGGGGCGGUGAUACAUGGGUUGUCAUCUUCCACCGCUCUGUUGGCCACGCUCCGGGGGUUCCGUCGAACGAUUGGUCUUCCCCUUUAGGUUGACCUCGGAUCAGGUAGGGAUACCCGCUGAAUUUAAGCAUAUCAAUAAGCGGAGGCU
This 414-nucleotide unclassified non-coding RNA is filed under the name uncultured Elaphomyces. Its description in RNAcentral is "sequence contains ITS2". The stretch from base 1 to 154 matches the Rfam family "5.8S ribosomal RNA". Lineage: Eukaryota; Fungi; Ascomycota; Eurotiomycetes; Eurotiales; Elaphomycetaceae. The record is from RNAcentral.